UGAAACCAGAUCUUGUUAUUAUGUAUUUGAAGAUAGAAGAGACUGGACACAAACUCGAGAGACCUGUACAUCAGAAUCAACAUACGUCGUUCAACCCAAUACAGACGAAGAGAAAUCAUGGUUGAUGACCACCCUGACUGAUAUCGGUCUGCCAGUAACGGUGUGGCUUGGUAAAAUCCGAACUGCUCCAGGACAAUGGUCUUGGUACCAUAAGAACCACUUAGAAGUUUCGGAUAUGGUACCUAACGGUGGUAUCGAUUCUACCGACAUGUCCUAUGCACGGCUCACGGAAGAUGGCGAGUGGCAGAAAGCUGCUUCAACAGAGAUUUAUGGCGUUGUUUGUGAGGAUUCAGUCACCCCCAGUUAUUUAAAGCUGGCAAAGGUUAAGAAUAUUGGAGGUGAUUGGAUAUAUGGGGAAGCGUGGAUUGAGGAUCCAGAAGUCACAACGACAGUUGAAAGUAGUACGGAAGGUGAAAGUAGUACUAAUGCUUAUAAAGAGUCCUUGACUACUGGUGAUGUGACAGUAAGCAGCUUAGAACCAACGUCCCACUCAACCACAGACCCGAACACCUCAAUAUUUGGAUAUUGUGCAGAUCCAAAAUGGAUGAACCCAGGCUCUAUACUGGAUAUUAUGUAUUCGAAAUUAAGCACUGUUGACGAAUCAGUGGUGGAAAUAAUGAUUCUUCAAAAAGCUUCUAAUCUUAGGUGUGCCAAAACCUGUUCAUUGGAUGCACGGUGUAUUUUGUAUACAAGAGAUAAAUACAAGACUUGUCGUGGAUUUAAGGCCGACAGGUCCAGUACCAGCAGAAUUAGUUGUUCGGAUGAAGUGUCUUGUUUCCUGAAAAUGUGUAACGAUUCUCCAACCCCGUUGUAAUUUAAUAAAAUUUAAUGUCUCCCUCUCGAUCAAAUCUCACAAAUGAUUAGAUAUAGACAUAAACUGGC
This is a long non-coding RNA of Patella vulgata (common limpet), 942 nucleotides long. RefSeq lists it as uncharacterized. The record is from RefSeq and is a predicted model, not a curated record. The transcript is spliced from 3 exons. Lineage: Eukaryota; Metazoa; Mollusca; Gastropoda; Patellidae.